AUUGAACGCUGGCGGCAUGCCUUACACAUGCAAGUCGAACGGCAGCACGGGAGCAAUCCUGGUGGCGAGUGGCGAACGGGUGAGUAAUAUAUCGGAACGUGCCCAGUCGUGGGGGAUAACGCAGCGAAAGCUGUGCUAAUACCGCAUACGAUCUCUGGAUGAAAGCGGGGGACCUGUAAGGGCCUCGCGCGAUUGGAGCGGCCGAUAUCAGAUUAGCUAGUUGGUGGGGUAAAAGCCCACCAAGGCGACGAUCUGUAGCUGGUCUGAGAGGACGACCAGCCACACUGGAACUGAGACACGGUCCAGACUCCUACGGGUGGCUG
RNAcentral lists this ribosomal RNA (323 nucleotides) under uncultured Pseudomonadota bacterium. RNAcentral describes it as "bacterial SSU rRNA". It matches the Rfam family "Bacterial small subunit ribosomal RNA", at positions 30 to 351 of the family's 1533-position model. Lineage: Bacteria; Pseudomonadati; Pseudomonadota. The record is from RNAcentral.